Molecule: ribosomal RNA, 1209 nt
Filed under: wastewater metagenome
Description: bacterial LSU rRNA
Rfam family: Bacterial large subunit ribosomal RNA
Source: RNAcentral
CCUUUAAAGAAAGCGUAAUAGCUCACUAGUCGAGUCGGCCUGCGCGGAAGAUGUAACGGGGCUAAAACUAUAUGCCGAAGCUGCGGAUUUGCAAUUUAUUGCAAGUGGUAGGGGAGCGUUCUGUAAGCCGAUGAAGGUGUAUUGAGAAGUAUGCUGGAGGUAUCAGAAGUGCGAAUGCUGACGUGAGUAACGACAAUGCGAGUGAAAAACUCGCACGCUGAAAGACCAAGGGUUCCAGUCCAACGUUAAUCGGGGCUGGGUGAGUCGACCCCUAAGGCGAGGCCGAGAGGCGUAGUCGAUGGGAAAUUGGUUAAUAUUCCAAUACUUCUGUGUAAUGCGAUGAGAGGACGGAGAAGGUUAAGUCAGCCUGGCGUUGGUUGUCCAGGUGGAAGGUUGUAGGCAUGUAUCUUAGGCAAAUCCGGGGUACUCUAUGCUGAGAACUGAUAGCAAGCUGUACUUGUACAGUGAAGUGGCUGAUACCAUGCUUCCAGGAAAAGUCUCUAAGCUUCAGUUACACAGGAAUCGUACCCGAAACCGACACAGGUGGUCAGGUCGAGUAGACCAAAGCGCUUGAGAGAACUCUGCUGAAGGAACUAGGCAAAAUGGUACCGUAACUUCGGGAGAAGGUACGCUGCCGACGGUGAUAGGAUUUACUCCUUGAGCUAUUGGCAGCCACAGAAACCAGGCCCCUGCAACUGUUUAUUAAAAACAUAGCACUCUGCAAACACGAAAGUGGACGUAUAGGGUGUGAUGCCUGCCCGGUGCUGGAAGGUUAAUUGAUGGGGUUAGCGUAAGCGAAGCUCUUGAUCGAAGCCCCAGUAAACGGCGGCCGUAACUAUAACGGUCCUAAGGUAGCGAAAUUCCUUGUCGGGUAAGUUCCGACCUGCACGAAUGGCAUAAUGAUGGGGGCGCUGUCUCCAGCAGAGACUCAGUGAAAUCGAAUUCGCCGUGAAGAUGCGGUGUACCCGCGGCUAGACGGAAAGACCCCGUGAACCUUUACUGCAGCUUGACAUUGAACUUUGAUCUUACUUGUGUAGGAUAGGUGGGAGGCUUUGAAACCGAGACGCUAGUUUCGGUGGAGCCAAUCUUGAAAUACCACCCUGGUAAUAUUGAGGUUCUAACUCUGCUCCAUUAUCUGGAGCGAGGACCAUGUCUGGUGGGUAGUUUGACUGGGGCGGUCUCCUCCUAAAGAGUAACGGAGGAGUACGA